AGUGAACGCUGGCGGUAGGCCUAACACAUGCAAGUCGAACGGCAGCACAGUAAGAGCUUGCUCUUACGGGUGGCGAGUGGCGGACGGGUGAGGAAUACAUCGGAAUCUACUUUUUCGUGGGGGAUAACGUAGGGAAACUUACGCUAAUACCGCAUACGACCUACGGGUGAAAGCAGGGGAUCUUCGGACCUUGCGCGAUUGAAUGAGCCGAUGUCGGAUUAGCUAGUUGGCGGGGUAAAGGCCCACCAAGGCGACGAUCCGUAGCUGGUCUGAGAGGAUGAUCAGCCACACUGGAACUGAGACACGGUCCAGACUCCUACGGGAGGCCGCAGUGGGGAAUAUUGGACAAUGGGCGAAAGCCUGAUCCAGCAAUACCGCGUGGGUGAAGAAGGACUUCGGGUUGUAAAGCCCUUUUGUUGGGAAAGAAAAGCAGCAGGUUAAUACCCCGCUGUUAUGACGGUACCCAAAGAAUAAGCACCGGCUAACUUCGUG
This 492-nucleotide ribosomal RNA is filed under the name uncultured bacterium. RNAcentral describes it as "partial 16S ribosomal RNA". It matches the Rfam family "Bacterial small subunit ribosomal RNA", at positions 29 to 507 of the family's 1533-position model. The record is from RNAcentral.